Molecule: long non-coding RNA, 305 nt
Filed under: Mus spicilegus (steppe mouse)
Lineage: Eukaryota; Metazoa; Chordata; Mammalia; Rodentia; Muridae
Description: lncRNA (ENSMSIG00000026960.1)
Source: RNAcentral
AUGAUAUCCAUACUGGAGAGAUGUCUUCAUCCAGGUUUUAUUGGGAAUUGUCAAUCAAGGGGACAGGAAGAUGACUAUGGGACAAGAUGGAGGAGGCAUCUUGAUAUUCCUCAUUUCAAUUGUUCACCUGUAUCAUGGGGCUCAAGAAACACUGACAGAAGUUGCCAUGUGCUGCGGCCUGCUGGGGACAUGAAGGAAUGUGGAUCAGGGCAGUCACAACAUCAUCAACCCAAUUCUCCAAGGUAGCUGGCCAAUAAUGCUAUUCUAAUUGAAUAACUUAUCCACAGCGAUUUCCCCGGGGAGAG